CAGAGGGUGCGAGCGUUAAUCGGAAUUACUGGGCGUAAAGCGCACGUAGUCGGCUUUGCAAGUCGGUUGUGAAAUCCCGGGCUCAACCUGGGAACUGCAUCCGAGACUGCAUUGCUAGAGUAUGGGAGAGGAAAGCGGAAUUUCUGGUGUAGCAGUGAAAUGCGUAGAUAUCAGAAGGAACAUCAGUGGCGAAGGCGGCUUUCUGGACCAAUACUGACGAUCAGGUGCGAAAGCGUGGGGAGCAAACAGGAUUAGAUACCCUGGUAGUCCACGCCCUAAACGAUGACAACUGGAUGUCGGGAGGGUUUGCCUUCCGGUGUCGUAGCUAACGCGUUAAGUUGUCCGCCUGGGAAGUACGGCCGCAAGGUUG
RNAcentral lists this ribosomal RNA (370 nucleotides) under uncultured organism. Its description in RNAcentral is "bacterial SSU rRNA". It matches the Rfam family "Bacterial small subunit ribosomal RNA", at positions 526 to 896 of the family's 1533-position model. The record is from RNAcentral.